This 1475-nucleotide ribosomal RNA is filed under the name metagenome. RNAcentral's name for it is "bacterial SSU rRNA". It matches the Rfam family "Bacterial small subunit ribosomal RNA". The record is from RNAcentral.
AGAGUUUGACCCUGGCUCAGGAUGAACGCUAGCUACAGGCUUAACACAUGCAAGUCGAGGGGAAACGAUAUUGGAAGCUUGCUUCCGAUAGGCGUCGACCGGCGCACGGGUGAGUAACGCGUAUCCAACCUGCCCACCACUUGGGGAUAACCUUGCGAAAGUAAGACUAAUACCCAAUGAUAUCUCUAGAAGACAUCUGAAAGAGAUUAAAGAUUUAUCGGUGAUGGAUGGGGAUGCGUCUGAUUAGCUUGUUGGCGGGGUAACGGCCCACCAAGGCAACGAUCAGUAGCCGGACUGAGAGGUUGAACGGCCACAUUGGGACUGAGACACGGCCCAGACUCCUACGGGAGGCAGCAGUGGGGAAUAUUGCACAAUGGGGGAAACCCUGAUGCAGCGACGCCGCGUGGAGGAAGAAGGUCUUCGGAUUGUAAACUCCUGUUGUUGAGGAAGAUAAUGACGGUACUCAACAAGGAAGUGACGGCUAACUGCGUGCCAGCAGCCGCGGUAAAACGUAGGUCACAAGCGUUGUCCGGAAUUACUGGGUGUAAAGGGAGCGCAGGCGGGCGAUCAAGUUGGAAGUGAAAUCCAUGGGCUCAACCCAUGAACUGCUUUCAAAACUGAUUGUCUUGAGUAGUGCAGAGGUAGGCGGAAUUCCCGGUGUAGCGGUGGAAUGCGUAGAUAUCGGGAGGAACACCAGUGGCGAAGGCGGCCUACUGGGCACCAACUGACGCUGAGGCUCGAAAGUGUGGGUAGCAAACAGGAUUAGAUACCCUGGUAGUCCACACCGUAAACGAUGAUUACUAGGUGUUGGAGGAUUGACCCCUUCAGUGCCGCAGUUAACACAAUAAGUAAUCCACCUGGGGAGUACGACCGCAAGGUUGAAACUCAAAGGAAUUGACGGGGGCCCGCACAAGCAGUGGAGUAUGUGGUUUAAUUCGACGCAACGCGAAGAACCUUACCAAGUCUUGACAUCCUGCGACGGACAUAGAAAUAUGUUUUUCCUUCGGGACGCAGAGACAGGUGGUGCAUGGUUGUCGUCAGCUCGUGUCGUGAGAUGUUGGGUUAAGUCCCGCAACGAGCGCAACCCUUAUGGUCAGUUACUACGCAAGAGGACUCUGGCCAGACUGCCGUUGACAAAACGGAGGAAGGUGGGGAUGACGUCAAAUCAUCAUGCCCUUUAUGACUUGGGCUACACACGUACUACAAUGGCGUUAAACAAAGAGAAGCAAGACCGCGAGGUGGAGCAAAACUCAGAAACAACGUCCCAGUUCGGACUGCAGGCUGCAACUCGCCUGCACGAAGUCGGAAUUGCUAGUAAUCGCAGAUCAGCAUGCUGCGGUGAAUACGUUCCCUGGCCUUGUACACACCGCCCGUCACACCAUGAGAGCCGGGGGGACCCGAAGUCGGUAGUCUAACCGCAAGGAGGACGCCGCCGAAGGUAAAACUGGUGAUUGGGGUGAAGUCGUAACAAGGUA